RNAcentral lists this ribosomal RNA (486 nucleotides) under uncultured bacterium. Its description in RNAcentral is "partial 16S ribosomal RNA". It matches the Rfam family "Bacterial small subunit ribosomal RNA", at positions 29 to 507 of the family's 1533-position model. The record is from RNAcentral.
AUUGAACGCUGGCGGCAUGCCUUACACAUGCAAGUCGAACGGCAGCACGGGUGCUUGCACCUGGUGGCGAGUGGCGAACGGGUGAGUAAUACAUCGGAACAUGUCCUGUAGUGGGGGAUAGCCCGGCGAAAGCCGGAUUAAUACCGCAUACGAUCUACGGAUGAAAGCGGGGGGCCUUCGGGCCUCGCGCUAUAGGGUUGGCCGAUGGCUGAUUAGCUAGUUGGUGGGGUAAAGGCCUACCAAGGCGACGAUCAGUAGCUGGUCUGAGAGGACGACCAGCCACACUGGGACUGAGACACGGCCCAGACUCCUACGGGAGGCAGCAGUGGGGAAUGUUGGACAAUGGGCGAAAGCCUGACCCAGCAAUGCCGCGUGUGUGAAGAAGGCCUUCGGGUUGUAAAGCACUUUUGUCCGGAAAGAAAUCCUUGGCCCUAAUACGGUCGGGGGAUGACGGUACCGGAAGAAUAAGCACCGGCUAACUACGUG